GACCGUGUAGCUCAGUUGGCAGAGCAUUGGGCUAGUAUUCCAAAGGUCGUAGGUUCGAUUCCCGCCGUGGGCA
Molecule: transfer RNA, 73 nt
Filed under: Paramuricea clavata
Lineage: Eukaryota; Metazoa; Cnidaria; Anthozoa; Malacalcyonacea; Plexauridae
Rfam family: tRNA
About the family: Transfer RNA (tRNA) molecules are approximately 80 nucleotides in length. Their secondary structure includes four short double-helical elements and three loops (D, anti-codon, and T loops). Further hydrogen bonds mediate the characteristic L-shaped molecular structure. tRNAs have two regions of fundamental functional importance: the anti-codon, which is responsible for specific mRNA codon recognition, and the 3' end, to which the tRNAs corresponding amino acid is attached (by aminoacyl-tRNA synthetases). tRNAs cope with the degeneracy of the genetic code in two manners: having more than one tRNA (with a specific anti-codon) for a particular amino acid; and 'wobble' base-pairing, i.e. permitting non-standard base-pairing at the 3rd anti-codon position.
Source: Rfam by way of RNAcentral